Molecule: small nucleolar RNA, 85 nt
Filed under: Pyrenochaeta sp. DS3sAY3a
Lineage: Eukaryota; Fungi; Ascomycota; Dothideomycetes; Pleosporales; Cucurbitariaceae
Source: RNAcentral
CUAAUAUGAUGUGACCUUGAUGACGAGUCCGAUGGGUUCGCCCGGUGACGACUGCAUCAAUAUUAUCCAUUCAUGCCAACUGAUA